This 59-nucleotide transfer RNA is filed under the name Pseudocrangonyx joolaei. RNAcentral's name for it is "tRNA-Ile". Lineage: Eukaryota; Metazoa; Arthropoda; Malacostraca; Amphipoda; Pseudocrangonyctidae. The record is from RNAcentral.
GAUAAAGUGCCUGAUAAAAGGAUUAUUUUGAUGAAAUAAAUAUGUACUAACCUUUAUCU